This 659-nucleotide ribosomal RNA is filed under the name Nocardiopsis sp. EGI80321. RNAcentral describes it as "bacterial SSU rRNA". It matches the Rfam family "Bacterial small subunit ribosomal RNA", at positions 77 to 738 of the family's 1533-position model. The record is from RNAcentral. Lineage: Bacteria; Bacillati; Actinomycetota; Actinomycetes; Streptosporangiales; Nocardiopsidaceae.
CCUUCGGGGUACACGAGCGGCGAACGGGUGAGUAACACGUGAGCAACCUGCCCCUGACUCCGGGAUAAGCGGUGGAAACGCCGUCUAAUACCGGAUACGACCCGUGGUCUCCUGGCCGCGGGUGGAAAGUUUUUUCGGUCGGGGAUGGGCUCGCGGCCUAUCAGCUUGUUGGUGGGGUAACGGCCUACCAAGGCGAUUACGGGUAGCCGGCCUGAGAGGGCGACCGGCCACACUGGGACUGAGACACGGCCCAGACUCCUGCGGGAGGCAGCAGUGGGGAAUAUUGCGCAAUGGGCGAAAGCCUGACGCAGCGACGCCGCGUGGGGGAUGACGGCCUUCGGGUUGUAAACCUCUUUUACCACCAACGCAGGCUCCCGGUUCUCCGGGGGUUGACGGUAGGUGGGGAAUAAGGACCGGCUAACUACGUGCCAGCAGCCGCGGUAAUACGUAGGGUCCGAGCGUUGUCCGGAAUUAUUGGGCGUAAAGAGCUCGUAGGCGGCGUGUCGCGUCUGCUGUGAAAGACCGGGGCUUAACUCCGGUUCUGCAGUGGAUACGGGCAUGCUAGAGGUAGGUAGGGGAGACUGGAAUUCCUGGUGUAGCGGUGAAAUGCGCAGAUAUCAGGAGGAACACCGGUGGCGAAGGCGGGUCUCUGGGCCUUA